UCAACUCAAUGAGUUCGGAUGCCUAGUUACAUCUCACGAACUCGGACUCAACUCAACGAGUUCGGACAUUUCACAUCCAUAAGUGAACUCGGACUCAACUCAACGAGUUCGGAUGUUCAACCAUCCUAGUGACAUGUCACUUGUAUCCUAAUCUAUUCCUAAGGUUCAAACGGGAUUUUCCUCGAACACAUCUCCUUGCCAUCUUCCGUAAAAUACCGAAACCAAUACUCAGUAACACUUUAUAUUUAACACAUAAUACACUUAAGUUGCAUUUUAUUCGAAAAUAACCACAAAGCAUAUAUUUCAU
This 307-nucleotide long non-coding RNA is filed under the name Gossypium barbadense (sea-island cotton). Its description in RNAcentral is "long non-coding RNA (GBAR_LNC012729)". Lineage: Eukaryota; Viridiplantae; Streptophyta; Magnoliopsida; Malvales; Malvaceae. The record is from RNAcentral.